RNAcentral lists this ribosomal RNA (253 nucleotides) under uncultured bacterium. Its description in RNAcentral is "partial 16S ribosomal RNA". It matches the Rfam family "Bacterial small subunit ribosomal RNA", at positions 524 to 776 of the family's 1533-position model. The record is from RNAcentral.
UACAGAGGUCUCGAGCGUUAGGCGGAAUCACUGGGCUUAAAGCGUGUGUAGGCGGAUCGUUAAGUGCCUUGUGAAAUCCCACGGCUCAACCGUGGAACUGCUUGGCAUACUGGCGGUCUUGAGCAACCUAGGGGCGAGCGGAACAAAUGGUGGAGCGGUGAAAUGCGUAGAUAUCGAGAGGAACACCUGCGGCGAAGGCGGGUUGCUGGGCUGACACUGACGCUGAUGCGCGAAAGCCAGGGGAGCGAACGGG